This 76-nucleotide transfer RNA is filed under the name Candidatus Falkowiibacteriota bacterium. Its description in RNAcentral is "tRNA-Asn". It matches the Rfam family "tRNA". Rfam says of the family: Transfer RNA (tRNA) molecules are approximately 80 nucleotides in length. The record is from RNAcentral. Lineage: Bacteria; Candidatus Falkowiibacteriota.
UCUGCGAUAGCUCAGUUGGUAGAGCAACUGGCUGUUAACCAGUAGGUCGCCGGUUCGAGUCCGGCUCGCAGAGCCA